This 381-nucleotide ribosomal RNA is filed under the name Triticum aestivum (bread wheat). Its description in RNAcentral is "partial small subunit ribosomal RNA". The record is from RNAcentral. Lineage: Eukaryota; Viridiplantae; Streptophyta; Magnoliopsida; Poales; Poaceae.
AUGAGGAGGCGGCGCUGGGCGCGCGCCGCCGCCCUAUGCCUCGCCAUUGCCGUCCUGCUGCAGCUCGCUGUCGCCCACGGCGCGGGCGCCUGGGCGGCCAGGAUGCCGGCCUUCUCCACGCGCGCGCGCGGCCGCGCUGCGCAGAGGUGGCCCUCGAUGCCCGUGCACCACGCUGUGCCCAAGCCCAGUCCAAGAGCCGGCGCCCGCGCGGUCGCGUUCGACGCCACCGCCACCGCUGCGGCCGCCCGGUGCAAUAGCAAGAGCAAGACCAGCGCGGCGUGGAAGCGGAAGCCGACCGCCGGAGGCCGCGACGACGCGGCGUGCGACGAGGACGACAAGCGGCGCAUCCCGACGGGCCCGAACCCGCUGCACAACAGGUGA